Molecule: ribosomal RNA, 877 nt
Filed under: uncultured bacterium
Lineage: Bacteria
Description: bacterial SSU rRNA
Rfam family: Bacterial small subunit ribosomal RNA
Source: RNAcentral
GCACCUUCGGGUGCCGAGUAAAGCGGCGAACGGGUGAGUAACACGUGAGUAACGUACCUUCGAGUGGGGAACAAUCCUUCGAAAGAAGGGCUAAUACCGCAUGAGACCACGGGGUCGCAGGACCCAGUGGUCAAAGAGUUCGGGGCUUGCCCCGGACUCGCUCGACGAUCGGCUCGCGGCCCAUUAGGUCGUUGGUGAGGGUAAAAGCCUACCAAGCCGAAGAUGGGUAGCUGGUCUGAGAGGACGAUCAGCCACACUGGGACUGAGACACGGCCCAGACUCCUACGGGAGGCAGCAGUGGGGAAUCUUGCGCAAUGGGGGCAACCCUGACGCAGCGACGCCGCGUGUGUGACGAAGGCCUUCGGGUCGUAAAGCACUGUCAGGUGGGAAGAAGGCGUAGUCGGCCUCGGUCGGCUGCGUUGACGGUACCGCCGAAGGAAGCACCGGCCAACUCCGUGCCAGCAGCCGCGGUAAGACGGAGGGUGCAAGCGUUGUUCGGAAUCAUUGGGCGUACAGGGUGCGCAGGCGGCCUGGCAAGUCCGAUGUGAAAGCCCGGGGCUCAACUCCGGAAUCGCAUUGGAAACUGUCAGGCUUGAGUCCGAGAGGGGCCAGUGGAAUUCCUGGUGUAGGGGUGAAAUCCGUAGAGAUCAUGAGGAACACCGGCGGCGAAAGCGACUGGCUGGAUCGGGACUGACGCUGAGCACGAAAGCGUGGGCAGCGAACAGGAUUAGAUACCCUGGUAGUCCGCGCUCUAAACCCUGUUCACUGGACGUUGGAUGGGUCAAACCGUCCAGGGUCGAAGCUAACGCGUUAAGUGAACCGCCUGGGGAGUACGGCCGCAAGGCUAAAACUCAAAGGAAUUGACGGGGGCCCGCAC